This 1260-nucleotide long non-coding RNA is filed under the name Monodelphis domestica (gray short-tailed opossum). RNAcentral's name for it is "lncRNA (ENSMODG00000037312.1)". The record is from RNAcentral. Lineage: Eukaryota; Metazoa; Chordata; Mammalia; Didelphimorphia; Didelphidae.
GUGAAAGAACACAUAUUGUGGGUAGGAUGAGCUAACAUAAUAAAAAUGACAAUCUGACCCAAAUUUAUUUACUUAUUUAGUGCCAUACCCAGUGAACUUCCAAAAAACUUUUUUACUGAAUUAGAAAAAAACAUAACAAAGUUCAUUUGGAAGAACAAAAGAUCAAGGAUAUCCAGGGAAAUCAUGAAAAAAAAAAUGCGAAGGAAGGUGGCCUUACAGUCCCAGAUCUCAAACUAUACUAUAAAGCAGCAGUCAUCGAAACAAUUUGGUACUGGCUAAGAGACAGAAAGGAGGAUCAGUGGAACAGACUUGGGACUUAUUGUAGGGAUAUGACUUUGAGAUGGUCUUGAAGUCUUCCGAAUCUUCAUUUCCCCAGCUCAAAUGAUGGAAUUAGUAGAAGUAGAAAGAGAAAGAGGAGGAAGAAGAAGAGGAGGAGAAGGAACAAGAAAAAGUAAUUGAAGCAUUUUGUAAAUUGUACGGAACAGAAGGAAGUUUAUAAGAACAUUCCUGGCAAAGAAGAUAAUUUUGAAAGCAACAUUUUGAAUUUAUUAUACACUUCUUUAAAAAUCAAGCUGAACAUAAGAGAUUCCUAGUUUAACAAAUAAUACUUUCUCCCCCUAUAAUAGCUCUUCCCAUUGUGAAGAGCUUUUAUGGCCCACAACUCUUUUCCUUUAAGAUAAAUCAAAUAAUUUUUCAUGAGCAGUAAAAAUAUUUAACUCACAUUUUGCAGUAGACUUUUCCUGGUCCUACUACUAGUGUCUUCUCCUUUCAGUUUAUCUUCUAUCCAUUAUAAAUAUCAUGUAUGGAUCCAGUUAUUUUCAUAUUGUAUCAACCAUCAGAAUGUGAAAAUCCUUCAGGGCAGGGACUGCUCUGAUCUUUAGUGCCUGUCAUAUAGUUAAGUGCUUAGUAAAUACUUGUUGACUUAACUUGAAUUCACUCUCUUUUUUGAUGAAAGUACUGAGAUAUUUAGAGAUGAUGCUUAGACUACAUCUCAAAAGUUUUGGUAGAUUAACUUUGUAAUUUGUUUUGAGGAAAUUACCUAUGGUUUCUGUAAUUUGUUCUUUUUGACCCACCAAUUCUUUAGGAUUAAAUUAGUUUGUCUCCAUUUGAUAUUGGAUGCUUUCCUCAAAUUCUUUUCAUUGAUUAUAAUUUAUGUGACACUGUAAAAGAUGUGUUUUUUAUUUUCUGCUUUUCUGCAAGUGUAAAUGAAACUUUUAUGAUUACGAUCAAUUUUUGUACAAGUGUAAUGCACAACUGAGA